Molecule: ribosomal RNA, 492 nt
Filed under: uncultured bacterium
Lineage: Bacteria
Description: partial 16S ribosomal RNA
Rfam family: Bacterial small subunit ribosomal RNA
Source: RNAcentral
AGUGAACGCUGGCGGUAGGCCUAACACAUGCAAGUCGAACGGCAGCACAGUAAGAGCUUGCUCUUACGGGUGGCGAGUGGCGGACGGGUGAGGAAUACAUCGGAAUCUACUUUUUCGUGGGGGAUAACGUAGGGAAACUUACGCUAAUACCGCAUACGACCUACGGGUGAAAGCAGGGGAUCUUCGGACCUUGCGCGAUUGAAUGAGCCGAUGUCGGAUUAGCUAGUUGGCGGGGUAAAGGCCCACCAAGGCGACGAUCCGUAGCUGGUCUGAGAGGAUGAUCAGCCAGCUUGGAACUGAGGCACGGCCCAGACUCCUACGGGGAGCAACAGUGGGGAAUAUUGGACAAGGGGGGAAAGCCUGAUCCAGCCAUACCGGGGGGGGGAAGAAGGCCUUCGGGUUGGAAAGCCCUUUUGUUGGGAAAGAAAAGCAGCAGGUUAAUACCCCGCUGUUCUGACGGUACCCAAAGAAUAAGCACCGGCUAACUUCGUG